RNAcentral lists this ribosomal RNA (326 nucleotides) under uncultured eukaryote. Its description in RNAcentral is "partial 18S ribosomal RNA". It matches the Rfam family "Eukaryotic small subunit ribosomal RNA", at positions 1470 to 1796 of the family's 1831-position model. The record is from RNAcentral.
CCCUUAGAUGUUCUGGGCCGCACGCGCGCUACACUGAUGCAUUUAACAAGCCUAGCCUUGACCGAGAGGUCCGGGUAAUCUUUGAAACUGCAUCGUGAUGGGGCUAGAUUAUUGCAAUUAUUAAUCUUCAACGAGGAAUGCCUAGUAAGCGUGAUUCAUCAAAUCGCGUUGAUUACGUCCCUGCCCUUUGUACACACCGCCCGUCGCUCCUACCGAUUGAAUGUGUUGGUGAGGAGCUCGGAUUGGCAGCAGUUGGUGGUUCGCCACCGGCUAUUGCUGAGAAGUCCUCCAAACCGCCCCAUUUAGAGGAAGGAGAAGUCGUAACA